This 433-nucleotide ribosomal RNA is filed under the name uncultured Ruminococcus sp. RNAcentral describes it as "partial 16S ribosomal RNA". It matches the Rfam family "Bacterial small subunit ribosomal RNA", at positions 341 to 792 of the family's 1533-position model. Lineage: Bacteria; Bacillati; Bacillota; Clostridia; Eubacteriales; Oscillospiraceae. The record is from RNAcentral.
ACGGGAGGCAGCAGUGGGGAAUAUUGCACAAUGGGCGCAAGCCUGAUGCAGCGAUGCCGCGUGAGGGAAGAAGGUUUUCGGAUUGUAAACUUCUGUCAACAGGGACGAAAAUGACGGUACCUGUGAAGGAAGCUCAGGCUAACUACGUGCCAGCAGCAGCGGUAAUACGUAGGGAGCAAGCGUUAUCCGGAAUUACUGGGUGUAAAGGGAGUGUAGGCGGGACUGUAAGUCAGAUGUGAAAUAUGCCGGCUCAACUGGCAGACUGCAUUUGAAACUGCGGUUCUUGAGUGAAGUAGAGGUAAGCGGAACUCCUAUUGUAGCGGUGAAAUGCGUAGAUAUUAGGAGGAACAUCAGUGGCGAAGGCGGUUAGCUGGACAGUAACUGACGCUGAGGCGCGAAAGCGUGGGUAGCAAACAGGAUAGAUACCCUGGUA